Molecule: long non-coding RNA, 276 nt
Organism: Sinocyclocheilus grahami
Lineage: Eukaryota; Metazoa; Chordata; Actinopteri; Cypriniformes; Cyprinidae
Exons: 3
Source: RefSeq, a predicted model, not a curated record
AACAAACUGAGCACCAGGAAUGAACCACUACUACGACCUGGAGACAGAGUUGCACUUGUGUUCCCCAACAAUGAUCCUGUGAUGUUUAUGGUGGCGUUUUAUGCAUGCCUUCUAGCGGAGCUGGUGCCUGUGCCCAUAGAAGUGCCACUCACUCGAAAGGAUGCAGGCAGUCAGCAGGUGGGGUUUCUGUUGGGCAGCUGUGGGGUCACUCUGGCCCUGACCACUGAUGCCUGUCAGAAGGGCCUGCCCAAAGCACAGACCGGAGAAGUUGUCACU